RNAcentral lists this unclassified non-coding RNA (345 nucleotides) under soil metagenome. RNAcentral describes it as "partial contains 5.8S ribosomal RNA, internal transcribed spacer 2, and large subunit ribosomal RNA". The stretch from base 1 to 120 matches the Rfam family "5.8S ribosomal RNA", at positions 35 to 154 of the family's 154-position model. The record is from RNAcentral.
GAUGAAGAACGUAGCGAAAUGCGAUACGUAAUGUGAAUUGCAGAAUUCAGUGAAUCAUCGAGUCUUUGAACGCACAUUGCGCCCCCUGGUAUUCCGGGGGGCAUGCCUGUCCGAGCGUCAUUGCUGCCCUCAAGCACGGCUUGUGUGUUGGGCCUCCGUCCUCCUCCCGGGGGACGGGCCCGAAAGGCAGCGGCGGCACCGCGUCCGGUCCUCGAGCGUAUGGGGCUUCGUCACCCGCUCUUGUAGGCCCGGCCGGCGCUUGCCGACACAUCAAUCUUUUUUCCAGGUUGACCUCGGAUCAGGUAGGGAUACCCGCUGAACUUAAUCAUAUCAAUAAGCGGAGGA